AGCUUUUGGGGUUGAGUUAGGCCCAAGGUCCAUUCUUAUCAAAAAGCACUUUUGGUGUUUAUCAAACACCAAAGAUAAGAAAAAAAGUGCUUAAAAGCUAGUUUGACCAGCCUUUCAAGGGUGUUUGGAUAAACUUAGAAGCUGGUUUUAAGCACCUUUUGGCUUAUUUUAGUGUUUGGUAACACCAAAAGUGCUAUUAAGCUAAAUGUUUUUAUACCAAAACAAAUCAAAAGCCAUAAGCUGCACACACCAACAUGUCUUUUCAACUAAAAAGCUCCUUGUGUUUGAUUAAGUAUUUUACUUUGUUAACCCUUAUAAUUUAUUAUACGCCCAAUAAUACCCUUCACUAUAGCCUCUCUGCCCUUUCGGGCAGGGGUAAGGCUCGUCUACAUAUUGCCCUCCCCAGACCCCACCUGGUGGGGAUAUACUGGGUAGUUGUUGUUGUUGUUGUUGUAUACCAGAACCCCUAACUCUACUAUCGUUUCCUUUCCUUCUUGUGUGCCUGUCUCUCUGCUUAUUUCCAUCUCUGCCCACCGGGUUCACCACUGCCAUUGUAUCUCGUCAGUGUCAUCCCAUUCCUUUGCUGCCAUAUUUGACAAAUACAUUUGGAUUUAUUAGUUUCCUCAAAAAAACAUUUCUGAAACCCAGUAACUUUUAUAGGAUCAUUGUGAAAUCCAACUAAAAAGACCAGAAGCAGACUGGUGGUGAUUUUAUAUCUUCUGCCUGCAUUUGGAGGCAGGGAAGCAGGGAAGGAGAUCUAUUUUACCAGUAAAAUAGUUCCUUCAACGCCAAUUUUCUUUUGGCGUGAAGGGACAGUUGGGGAGGUAGGAAAGCUCAAAAUAGCUACGGAAAUUGCCUUUUUGGACCUUCAGUGAUUGAUAAACUAUGUUUUGGUACUCAUGAUAUCUUACUGAGAAAAUUUAACCUUCAAUUAAUUGUAAUGUGCAUCUUAAGUCCCUCCUGAACUAGACUCCAACUAAUUUCAUGUUUUACUCUUAAAACAUGUGAAUAUUAGUAUUACAUUUUGUACUAUGCCAAGUGGAGGCUAUAUUAGUGCUUAUGUUCCACAUAGAAAGGUGACAGUUGCAAACAAACUAUAUCCCCCUAAAUUUGCAGUAAAUAAAUAUCAAUAUAACCUCCAUGUAGCAUAGUAAAUGUAGGUACAUGGUCCAGUAGUUAAUAUUCUAUUGAAUUUGCGGGAGGCCAUCAAUCAAGAGAACAAAGUGGAUAUUUCAAUUACAUGGAAGUUAAAUAUUGCUUAGUUAGAUAUCACGAGAACCAACAACAAAAUCUGAAUGAAGGAACCAAAAGUGCAAAUUUCCCACGGAGGAAGGUGAUGUUUGAUCAAAAGAUAAAGGCAAAAGUCCUUAAUCCAGGACUGAAUGUGAAAUAGGUGAGCUAGAUGACCUUACUUCUCUCGGAUCAUGCAUACAUACACAACAACAACAACCUAGUAGAAUCCCACUUAGUGGGUUCUGGGGAGGGUAGUGUGUACGCAAACCUUACCCCUACCCGUGGGUAGAGAGGCUGUUUCCAAAUAAACCCCCGGUAUCCCUCCCUCCAAGAACUUUCCACCUUGCUCUUGGGGAGACUCGAACUCACAACCUCUUGCUGCUUACCAUCAGAGCAACCCCUCUUGUCGAUGGAUCAUGCAUACAUAAAUUAUCUCAAAAUUAGGGGUGGCAAUUUGAGCCAUGAGUAACUUUGCUAAAAUAUAUUUAAAAUAAUUUUUUUUGUUUGAUGUUAUAUAUGACCAUAAUAAAAGGAAAAAAAAAGUCUUAUUUGAUAAUUAAAAAAUUCAUACGAACACAACAUUAAUUAAAGCUGGGUAAGAAUUGGAUUGAUUGGGCUAUGACCUAAAUUUUAGCCCAACUUGAUCUAGCCCAUCUAAGCUCAAGUUACUUUUGGGUUGGUCGAUAACAUGCCCAUUCAUUGACUCAGACCAUUUUAAUCCGUCCAAAAUUACCAACUCGCCCAUUUAACACCCCUAGUCAAAAGCAAAGAAAUGUUUAUAAAAGACUGCAGAUCAGACCUAGUGAAGUGCUGAUAGAAGAUCUGAUAACACAAGAUAAUGGGAUCAGGGCCAGAAGCAGGACAAAUCCAGAAUGUUGAGCAAGUAGAGAUGGCAUACAGGUAUUUGUGAUUCUUUUUAUCAAAUGGCGUACUAGUUAUUUGUGAUUAUUCUAACAUGUUACGUUGCACAUUCUAAGACUAUAUCAUAGAAAUAUGUGGGAAAGGAGAGCAUAUCAUUGAAAUAACGGCAAUUUAAUAAGGUAUGCAUGAUUAGGAAAACACAUGUUUUGAAAAAUUGCAGCAGAAAGUGUAUCUGAUUCUGAUAUUUACUAAAACAUCAAUUAAUGCAUGCUUGUGUUGAAGACUACCAAUUUUAGUAUCUAAAAGGACUAGGGGUGUGCAUUCAAAUCGGUUUAUCGUUAAAUCGAAUCGAUUAUUUAUUAUCGGUUUAUCGAUUUAUCGAUUUUGAUUUCGAAAUUUUCCCUAUCGAGUUAUCGAUUUCGAUUUUGUCCUCUUCGGUUAUCGGUUUAUCGAUAAACCGAUAAGAUAUACUAAAAAAAAAUUACCUUAUUCUAUAAUACCCUUUCCUUUACCCUGAGUCUCUAACCCUAUUAUUUCAUCUACCACAUUUAAGGAAUAAUCAUAUUUAAAGCUCAAGGGAAUGAAGUUCAAAUUAAUGGAAAAUAGAAUUAGUAGUAAUGAUAUACUUUUGUUUUUUUAACAGCGUUGGAGUGUUGGUGACAUACAAUUGAUCCCUUACUUUAGUUUCGUUGCAUGUGCCAGAAUUAGCCGUGAUGAUGUAUUUUUUUCCUCCGUUGGAGUGUUGGUGGCAUACAUUUGAUCCCUUACUUUAGUUUCGUUGCAUGUGUUUGUUGACACAAUUUUUUAUGUUAUAAACGGUAUUCGUCUUAUUUUAGCUUCUUUUUGUCCAUAUUAGUUAGGUGUUUUCAGCUAUAGAUUUGUUAAUCCUCCUCUUCAUUUUCAAUAAGCCUGUACUCUAGCUGAUUUACGCACCAGCAAGUGAAGACCGAUAUAAUCUGCCUUAUUGAAAAUCCAUAAAUCGAAUCGAUAAGCCCCCAAAAUCGACAAAUCGAAAUCGAAAAAAUCCAAACCUUAUUGAAACGAUAACGAUAAGCAUAUGUACAAAUCAAUAAUCGAUAAGUAAUUAUCGAUAAGGGUCAAAAUCGAAUCGUAAAUCGAAUGCACACCCCUAAAAAGGACCCAAAAGAACAGAAUAGGUUGUCCCUUCAUGGAUUAGAAGAAGAACCAGUAAAUUUCUAAGUUUGAAAAAAGCUAAUAGAAAGACUUACAAUAAAAGAUCUCCUGUUUUAAUUUCAGUGCUGAGAAGGAGCAUCGCCAUUUCUUAAGCGAUUUACAAAGUUCAUCUUUUAUGGGCUUUGUGAUAUCCUACAAAAGGUAAGUGACGCUGAUAGAGUAUAAAUAUUAUCAAACUAUCAAAAAAAAGAACGAUUACCAAGUUUGUUGGCAAUAACAUCAGGUCAAGCAUAGUUUCUGAAUUGAAGCCAAUGUAUCAAACUUGGAAUCUAUUGGUUAAACUAGCAUGAAGGUUAACAAAAACAAGCAAAAAAGUAAAUGCAUUCCUUCAAAGUAACCGUUUUUCUUCUUCUUUUUUUUUUUUGAAUGGUAAAUGCUACUCAAAAGAACAUUUCUUGCAACAGAGAGAACAGAUGGAUAAGCAAGGAAAAGCAGAAUAGUAGCAAGUCUGAAUAUCUGACGUAUUUUAAGUCUCAUCUUACUGGAAGCAUAGAGAAUGGAUAGAAAGUACAGUGGAAGUAUGGAUCACCUGAUGAAAACCAGAGAUCAGUCUUAAAGAGAGUCUUUCAUAGCACCUGGCACGAAUAAUUCAAACUUAUCAUACCAUCAGCUAAUGUCUAAUGAUACAGGGAUCAAUUUAAAGGGCAAAGUGUUAAACACACACCAAUUCUCCAUCAAAAGGGCGGGAAUCUCCAAAAAAUCAGGAUCCAGGCGCAGCCCCGAGAAUUUGGCAAAUGACGCACAGUUGCAAAUGUGAUGUAUCUGAAGCAAAUACAUCAGUAAGAACACGUUUAGCUGUUCCGAAAAUUAACCCGGUGUGCGGAUGAGAUUUUACAUAGAGAAGUACAUAAGGUAAACAUUAUCAAUAUGGGUACCACAGCUGAAUGAUAAGCAUCUACAAAGUGGUUGCCCAUCAUAUUUUAGCCAAAUAGCAGGAAUAAACACAGACAUGAAUUAAUCCUCGAGUUACGUCUGCUUUCAACCGUAACGAAAGCGACUCAACUUUUCAAUUUAGUAAUCGAGAAAUUCCGAAGGGAGAACUAGUGCAUUGUUCGAAACUCAGUGGAUAAUGAGCUCGUCCCUAUACCCUUCUCUACUUAAUACCACACUUUUGUCUCUGACAGGUUUCGAACACAUGAUGGGCAAAGUGACAUUACUUGUAUCAUAAAAUUAUUCAUGAAAGAGCAUUUUGAUUUUAAUCGCUAAUUCAAUGGUAGAAGAUAAUUUCUCUAUUCAUGAAUAUGGAAGGAAUUUAUACCGUUACAAGAAAUCUAUCUAAGCAAAGAAAUCAAAACAACUGAAAGAGAAUAUUAGAAGAUCUGCUACAUGUAUUGAUCUAGUAUAUGUAUUUAGACUAUAUUUACAGCUAAUAUUCUAUAAUACUCCCCCUAGAGUUGGAGCGUAGAUGUUGACCAUGCCCAACUUGUUCCAAAGAUAAUUAACUUGAAUUCUAUUAGCGCUUUGUGAAUAACAUCAGUCGGUUGC
This 4773-nucleotide long non-coding RNA is filed under the name Nicotiana benthamiana. Its description in RNAcentral is "long non-coding RNA (NBEN_LNC032772)". Lineage: Eukaryota; Viridiplantae; Streptophyta; Magnoliopsida; Solanales; Solanaceae. The record is from RNAcentral.